GUCAGUGAGUCCAAUCGGUGAGAGCAUCUGGCUGUUAACCAGGAGGUUGGUGGUUCGAACCCACCCAGGGACA
Molecule: non-coding RNA, 73 nt
Organism: Podarcis lilfordi (Lilford's wall lizard)
Lineage: Eukaryota; Metazoa; Chordata; Lepidosauria; Squamata; Lacertidae
Source: the annotation of a GenBank genome assembly